RNAcentral lists this ribosomal RNA (482 nucleotides) under uncultured bacterium. RNAcentral describes it as "partial 16S ribosomal RNA". It matches the Rfam family "Bacterial small subunit ribosomal RNA", at positions 28 to 507 of the family's 1533-position model. The record is from RNAcentral.
GAUGAACGCUAGCGGCAGGCCUAAUACAUGCAAGUCGGACGGGAUUCAGGAGCUUGCUUCUGCUGAGAGUGGCGCACGGGUGCGUAGCACGUAUGUAACCUACCUUUAUCAGGGGGAUAGCCUCUCGAAAGAGAGAUUAAGCCCGCAUAAAAUCACAGCACAGCAUUGUGUAAUGAUCAAAUAUUUAUAGGAUAAAGAUGGGCAUGCGGAACAUUAGCUAGAUGGCGGGGUAACGGCCCACCAUGGCGACGAUGUUUAGGGGAUCUGAGAGGAUGGCCCCCCACACUGGUACUGAGACACGGACCAGACUCCUACGGGAGGCAGCAGUAAGGAAUAUUGGUCAAUGGGCGGAAGCCUGAACCAGCCAUGCCGCGUGCAGGAAGACGGCCCUACGGGUUGUAAACUGCUUUUAUACGGGAAUAAACCCAGAUACGUGUAUCUGGCUGAAUGUACUGUAAGAAUAAGGAUCGGCUAACUCCGUG